This 2964-nucleotide long non-coding RNA is filed under the name Nicotiana tabacum (common tobacco). RNAcentral describes it as "long non-coding RNA (NTAB_LNC006593)". Lineage: Eukaryota; Viridiplantae; Streptophyta; Magnoliopsida; Solanales; Solanaceae. The record is from RNAcentral.
AUCCCCACUUCAUCCCACCCCUUCUCCUUCCGUCACCAACAUAUGCGGGGAAAGAAUUCAUCUCGACACCAUCACACAAACUGAAAAUGCAUGAACUAGAGGUAUCUCAAAAUGCAUGAAAUUGAUUUUUCUUCGAUUUAUUAGUUAUGGCAUUGCCAAAAAAAGAGAGGACAAAAUGAACCUUAUGCAAGCUUUAUGGAUCUUAAGGAAGAGUAUGUAAAGUCCAAAAAAUCUGGUCACAUUUUAAGGAGAAUGAUAGGGAAUGGAGUUAUUUUUUCAAUCGUCGGACAUUUUUUCUGUUCACCGGACAUGUUUCUGGCCAGAUCCCUUUCUCUCUCCCACUUUAGUUUAUGGUUUGGAUUCAAUAUUGGGGAACUUCCUUUGAUUUAAAAUUUGAUAGAGUUUCUUGUUAUUUUUUAAUAUUUUAGAAUUUUUGAUUUAUGAGAUUGAAGUGAGCUCUAUCAUAUCAAUCUCCAUUGUUUCAGGUGCGGAUUAAGUGAAAAAGAAAGGAGAAAUAAGUAAAAGGAAAAGGAAAACUUGGAAAAAAAUAUAACAAAAAAGUAGGAAAUACAUUUUAAAAUGUGGCAGAAUUAAUUUUUUAACUUGUGUGUUUGUCUCUCACUCUCCUUAAGAGAGUGUAUAUCACUCUCUAUGCCAUAUCAGCUUAAAAGGUGAAACUUUUUAUACUUUGAAUACAUAGAGGGGGGUCAUAGGACCCCCAUAAAUUACAAGGGUGCAACUGGCAAAUAUCUACAAUCUCAAAGGGGUAAUUAUGUAUUAUCCCUAGAAAAUAAUUGAAUUAAAUUUUUCGAUUUUCCCCGACGAUGGAUAUCAAUCGACAGGCUUCUUGAGGGAUUAAAGUCGAAAGAAAAAGACAAAAAGAUUUUCUUUUAUAUGUAGUGUAUUAAUUCCCCCCUUAGUUUUUCUUUGUGACGCGGUUCUUUUCCAACGUUUUUGAUUGAACCGGGUGUAGUUAGUUUUUAUUUUCGUAGAAGUAGGAAACCUUGUGCUAGGAUUUGAAUGGAAGGCAACAUCUUUUGACUCUAUUAUACCUUGAGAAUAGUGAGUGCUUUAGUUGUGACGCUUAGGCUCAAUUUUUGACUCCUGCAUAAGUACCUUAAAAUGUAUGAUCUUAACGUUGCUUAACUACUCUGGCUAGAGUGUCAUGAUUCCGAUCUUGAGUGAGUUAUGUGCCAUGUAUAUUUGAGGUUUUGUGGUAUUCUGUGCAUUGCAUCUGAUGUCUAGAACUUGCCCUGUAUGUUCGCAACGCGAAAUAGUAGUUUUUUUCAGUCUUGAAAGUGAUAUAGACAUUUCUUUGUUGAUCAAGUUAUAUGCUUUUACCAACCUAAUUGUUAUGAAUCUUAAUUAACCCAUUUGAGCCUGUAAUCCUGUUUCUUUUGCAACUACAUUACAAGCCUUACCCAUUUGUUUGAAUUGACCAUCUACCUCCAGUGAUCGCUUGAAUUGGUUAUGAACUUUAUAAAAGUUGAAGUGUGGGGUGUUUGGUUGGGCUUUUGAGUGAAACUAAUAAAAAGUAAGAGUCACUUGAAUUGAAAAAGAAAGAGAAAAAAUGUAGGUGUAUUGUUGUGCAAAAUAAUCUUUAAUUGUGGUGACUCUUGAAGUAAUUGUGCUUAAAGAAGUAGGGAGUUAAUGUAAAUCGAUAUGAAGGUGGAGUUAUGGUUUGACAUAAGUGUGGGAUUUUGAACGGUUAAUUAUAUGUAUUAAAGUACUUAGGGGGUGUAGUCAGUCUUAUAUCCAAAUGUAUCCUACCCAUCCUACAGACGACAUUACAACCAAAUAAAGUCCUACUUGAUCUUUGACUGAAUGAGCUCAACUAAUAUAGUAGUACACUACGAGCAAGCCUCUGAUAUGUCUUUUGUGGCAUAUGAAUGCUGUUUUUGAGAGUGAGCGAAUUCUUUCUAUCUUGAGUUCCUAAUUGUUCUUAAUUUCUAUCGUGUGUGGAACUACUCUCUAUUGUUGUGUGACGACACUUAACUCAUGAAAGAAAAGUAAUGUCAUGGACCUUUGGGCUAGAGUAAGUGAGCGGGUUAUGAAUAAUGCGUGGUGAUUUUGAGUCAAAUCUUGAGGUUAGGAUCUUACGAUAUUGUAGUUAAUCUAUUUUAAAGAGUCUUGGUGUGAUGAGUUAUGAGAGUGGUUGGACAAAAGGUCAUAUUCUAUGUGAAGUGUAGUUUGAUUGCUCGAGGACGAGCAAUGGUUUAAGUGUGGGGUGUUGAUGGUCGGCUAUAAUCUCGUGUUUUAGUCAUUUAUUGCAAUUCACUGCACUUUAUUAGUGUUGGAGGUUUAAUUGGUAGUAUUUUGCACUUAUUGCAUAUUUUAUGUAUUGCAGGAAUGAUUCUGAGUUAAAAAAAUGUUGUGGAUCUAAUUCGAGUUAUUUGGAGCUUUGAAGUCUGAGUAAAAGCCCAAGAGAUUUAGUUGGGAUCGUGUUUGGGAAUCAACGGAUGACUAGUGUAAUUAAUGGGAGGAAAAAGAGUUAAACAUGAGUGAAACUCAUAUGCACGACCGCUCAUGAGAGACCCCAACCCACAUACGACCGCGCAAGUGACACAAUAUUCUUCCAAACAUCUGCGGUCGCGCACUGCUUCCGCAAAACUUUGCCCAUGCCUAUUUUUGUAAUUUCGAACAUGAUUCCUUUUGACCUAUAUGAAUCCUAGCUCAUCUAGAAACAAGGUAUCUCAGAUUUUGGAGCAACUUUUGGAGAGAAGAAGGCAAGGAAACAAUGAAAACGUGAAAUACUUGAUCCAAUUCAUUCAAUACGGAAGUUUGCUGAAUUUUGGGGAACUGUAAUGUCUUCUUGUUCUUCUAAUACUUUUGUGAUGAAUGACUUCUCUACUAUGGAGUAAUCUUUCUUAGAGUUAUUAACGGAUGUUGUGCUUUGACUAUUGUUUUGGGUUUUUACUCUUUGUUAAUUGCCCGAAUUAAUUGAAUGAGUUAUUAAUUGAAUUA